CGNNANUNNUNGGNCNUAAAACGUCCNGUAGCCGGUUUAUUAAAUGCCUAGGUAAAUUGNGUAGCUUAACUAUACGANUUCUGGGUAGACUGGUAAACUNGAGAUCGGGAGAAGUUAGAGGUACUCCUUGGGUAGAGGUGAAAUUCUGUAAUCCUAGGGGGACCACCAGUGGCGAAGGCGUCUAACUAGAACGAGUUUGACGGUGAGGGACGAAGCCCUGGGGCGCAAACGGGAUUAGAUACCCCGGUAGUCCAGGGUGUAAACGCUGCUUGCUUGAUGUUAGUCGGGCUCCGAGCCCGAUUAGUGUCGGAGAGAAGUUGUUAAGCAAGCUGCCUGGGAAGUACGGUCGCAAGACUGAAAUUUAAAGGAAUUGGCGGGGGAGCACCGCAACGGGAGUAGCGUGCGGUUUAAUUGGAUUCAACGCCG
This 426-nucleotide ribosomal RNA is filed under the name uncultured archaeon. RNAcentral's name for it is "partial 16S ribosomal RNA". It matches the Rfam family "Archaeal small subunit ribosomal RNA", at positions 495 to 920 of the family's 1478-position model. The record is from RNAcentral.